Small nucleolar RNA from Lates calcarifer (barramundi perch), 79 nucleotides. The record is from Ensembl. Lineage: Eukaryota; Metazoa; Chordata; Actinopteri; Centropomidae.
GAUGUAGAUAUGAUGAGUUUGUCAUGUCUCUUCUCUGAUCAACAGUGGGGAAAGAUUCAACAUCUCUGAUCUCAGCACA